UACAGAGGUCUCAAGCGUUAAUCGGAAUUACUGGGCGUAAAGCGUGCGCAGGCGGUUAUAUAAGACAGUUGUGAAAUCCCCGGGCUCAACCUGGGAACUGCAUCUGUGACUGUAUAGCUAGAGUACGGUAGAGGGGGAUGGAAUUCCGCGUGUAGCAGUGAAAUGCGUAGAUAUGCGGAGGAACACCGAUGGCGAAGGCAAUCCCCUGGACCUGUACUGACGCUCAUGCACGAAAGCGUGGGGAGCAAACAGG
RNAcentral lists this ribosomal RNA (253 nucleotides) under uncultured bacterium. RNAcentral describes it as "partial 16S ribosomal RNA". It matches the Rfam family "Bacterial small subunit ribosomal RNA", at positions 524 to 776 of the family's 1533-position model. The record is from RNAcentral.